This 429-nucleotide ribosomal RNA is filed under the name Gemmatimonadota bacterium. RNAcentral's name for it is "Gemmatimonadetes bacterium partial 16S ribosomal RNA". It matches the Rfam family "Bacterial small subunit ribosomal RNA", at positions 355 to 776 of the family's 1533-position model. Lineage: Bacteria; Pseudomonadati; Gemmatimonadota. The record is from RNAcentral.
UAGGGAAUCUUCGGCAAUGGACGAAAGUCUGACCGAGCAACGCCGCGUGAGUGAAGAAGGUUUUCGGAUCGUAAAACUCUGUUGUUAGAGAAGAACAAGGACGUUAGUAACUGAACGUCCCCUGACGGUAUCUAACCAGAAAGCCACGGCUAACUACGUGCCAGCAGCCGCGGUAAUACGUAGGUGGCAAGCGUUGUCCGGAUUUAUUGGGCGUAAAGCGAGCGCAGGCGGUUUCUUAAGUCUGAUGUGAAAGCCCCCGGCUCAACCGGGGAGGGUCAUUGGAGACUGGGAGGCUUGAGUGCAGAAGAGGAGAGUGGAAUUCCAUGUGUAGGGGUGAAAUGCGUAGAUGUAUGGAGGAACACCGGUGGCGAGAGCGGCUCUCUGGUCUGUAACUGACGCUGAGGCUCGAAAGCGUGGGGAGCAAACAGG